Molecule: ribosomal RNA, 534 nt
Filed under: uncultured delta proteobacterium
Lineage: Bacteria; Deltaproteobacteria
Description: bacterial SSU rRNA
Rfam family: Bacterial small subunit ribosomal RNA
Source: RNAcentral
GAUCCUGGCUCAGAAUGAACGCUGGCGGCGUGCUUAACACAUGCAAGUCGAACGGGAAAGGUGCUUUCGGGCACCGAGUAGAGUGGCGCACGGGUGAGUAACGCGUAGGUAACCUGCCCCCGUGUAUGGGAUAACACCUCGAAAGGGGUGCUAAUACCGUAUGCGACUCCUCUCCGAAAGGGGUGGAGUGAAAGAGGGCCUCUGCAAGCAAGCUCUUGCACGGGGAGGGACCUGCGUCCUAUCAGCUUGUUGGUAGGGUAGCGGCCUACCAAGGCAACGACGGGUAGCUGGUCUGAGAGGAUGACCAGCCACACUGGCACUGGAACACGGGCCAGACUCCUACGGGAGGCAGCAGUGAGGAAUUUUGCGCAAUGGGGGAAACCCUGACGCAGCAACGCCGCGUGGGUGAUGAAGGCCUUCGGGUCGUAAAGCCCUGUCGGGUGGGAAGAACGCCCUUAGAGUAGAAUAUGCUUUGGGGGGUGACGGUACCACCAGAGGAAGCACCGGCUAACUCCGUGCCAGCAGCCGCGGUAA